This 405-nucleotide long non-coding RNA is filed under the name Setaria italica (foxtail millet). Its description in RNAcentral is "long non-coding RNA (SITA_LNC004180)". The record is from RNAcentral. Lineage: Eukaryota; Viridiplantae; Streptophyta; Magnoliopsida; Poales; Poaceae.
GCGCCGCUCCUGGCCAACGUCUACCCCUACUUCUCCUACGUCGGGAACCAGGCACAGAUCGACAUCAACUACGCGCUCUUCACCUCCCCAGGCACCGUCGUGCAGGACGGCGGCAACGCCUACCAGAACCUCUUCGACGCGCUCGUCGACACCUUCUACUCCGCACUCGAGAACGCAGGGGCGGGGAGCGUCGGCAUCGUCGUGUCCGAGAGCGGCUGGCCGUCGGCGGGGGGCGACGCGGCUAGCACGGACAACGCGCGGACCUACAACCAGAACCUCAUCAACCAUGUCGGACAGGGCACGCCCAAGCGCCCCGGGGCAAUCGAGACCUACAUCUUCGCCAUGUUCAACGAGGACCAGAAGCCCGGAGCCGAGACGGAGAAGCAUUUCGGCUUGUUCAACCCG